UCUGCUUCAAAGGAACACUCCAAGUACCAUCAAAACUUUAGAUUAAUGAAGUUAUGGUACCUGGAUUAAUUCUUUAACUACUGUGUGAUGUUUCAUCCACAAUGACACCUUGUACUGCAUUUGCACCUUUUCCACUUUAAAACAUACUGUACUUAUUAACAAUGCAAUGAUUUGUGGACCCAGGACAUCCUUGAAAACUAGAGAAAUCUCAACUUAUCUUUCCUGGUAAAAUAUUUUAUAAAUAAAUAAAUAAUAUAGGCUACUUAAAAUGUUGGUAGUUAUGCCUAAACAUGAAGAAGGUCCCAUGGCAAAAAU
Non-coding RNA from Pelobates cultripes (western spadefoot toad), 315 nucleotides. The record is from the annotation of a GenBank genome assembly. NCBI's taxonomy places the organism in Eukaryota, Metazoa, Chordata, Amphibia, Anura, Pelobatidae.